UACGGAGGGGGCGAGCGUUAUUCGGAAUCAUUGGGCGUAAAGGGCGCGUAGGCGGCUUCGUAAGUCUUGGGUGAAAGCCCUCGGCUCAACCGAGGAAUUGCCUUGGAUACUGCGAAGCUCGAGGCUGGAAGAGGACAGUGGAAUUCCCGGUGUAGCGGUGAAAUGCGUAGAUAUCGUGAGGAAGACCAGUGGCGAAGGCGGGUCUCUGGACAGUUCCUGACGCUGAGGCGCGAAGGCCAGGGGAGCAAACGGG
RNAcentral lists this ribosomal RNA (253 nucleotides) under uncultured bacterium. RNAcentral's name for it is "partial 16S ribosomal RNA". It matches the Rfam family "Bacterial small subunit ribosomal RNA", at positions 524 to 776 of the family's 1533-position model. The record is from RNAcentral.